Choloepus didactylus (southern two-toed sloth) is the source of this 901-nucleotide long non-coding RNA. RefSeq lists it as uncharacterized. The record is from RefSeq and is a predicted model, not a curated record. Lineage: Eukaryota; Metazoa; Chordata; Mammalia; Pilosa; Megalonychidae. The transcript is spliced from 7 exons.
UCCAUGGAGAUAUGGACCCCGCCCAUUCAGAGUGGGUCUUGAUUAGAUUACUGGAGCCCCUUAAGGAAGCUGACAGAGAGAAGGAGCUUAGGAGAAGCUGAGAGAAACAUUUUGAAGAGAAACUAAGAUCUACAAUCCAGAGUUUGCGCUGGAAUAAGCUGGGAGCCAACACAAGCCCACUCCCUUGGAGACACUUGGAGAUGCUUGGAGAUGAAGACGGAAAGACAUUUGGAGAUGCUAUUUUAAGAGGUGGCUUUUGACCUGCAUCACAUGUAGCAGAUGUUCUCCACGUUUCUUGAAUUUUCUUACCUUUACCUGCAAGGGGAGCCCAAGAACCUCAUCCUGUUGGUAGUUACCAUUCUCUGAUGUAAGCUAUUAUUCACCAGGGUGUUUUGGCAAGGGAACUGGUUAGAUCAGCAAGUCUGUCUUCACUGUGAAAAAACAACUUGAAGCUCAUCUCUCUUGAUGAGUGAUGUAACUAAAAGUUGUGUGGAUGAAUAGCACAGAGAGACCCAAUUUCUCCACAUUCUUUGAAUGUGUGAUAACACAGGGAGUUGAAUGAAUCAACAUGUCUGCUAAUGUCAUACAUUUAUAAAGAAGUGAAAGGUCACAGAGACUGUUGAAUCCCUUCAUAUCCUAUUCCAGCCCAAUUCUCCUCUACUUCUUCCCCAGAGGAAUACCUAAUAGUGGUAUUUGGAAAACAGCUGGAUACCUAGUCCUGGAGAGAUUUUCCGGAGCAAACUCUGUGCUAGCAUCUCCAAAGCGUCAGCAGAAGUCUGCUUUCAAUGGCCGUCUACAAAACAUCUCUGUUAGCUGCAGCACCAAUCUCCUGUCUGAGCUCUUAUAGGGCUCUAGUAAACUAAUCAAGACCCACACUGAAUGGGCGGGGCCACACCUCCAU